AACGAACGCUGGCGGCAUGCCUAACACAUGCAAGUCGAACGAGACCUUCGGGUCUAGUGGCGCACGGGUGCGUAACGCGUGGGAAUCUGCCCUUGGGUUCGGAAUAACUCAGAGAAAUUUGAGCUAAUACCGGAUGAUGACGAAAGUCCAAAGAUUUAUCGCCCAGGGAUGAGCCCGCGUAAGAUUAGCUUGUUGGUGGGGUAAUGGCCUACCAAGGCGACGAUCUUUAGCUGGUCUGAGAGGAUGAUCAGCCACACUGGGACUGAGACACGGCCCAGACUCCUACGGGAGGCAGCAGUGGGGAAUAUUGGACAAUGGGCGCAAGCCUGAUCCAGCAAUGCCGCGUGAGUGAUGAAGGCCUUAGGGUUGUAAAGCUCUUUUACCAGGGAUGAUAAUGACAGUACCUGGAGAAUAAGCUCCGGCUAACUCCGUGCCAGCAGCCGCGGUAAAGUCUGUACU
Molecule: ribosomal RNA, 459 nt
Filed under: uncultured bacterium
Lineage: Bacteria
Description: bacterial SSU rRNA
Rfam family: Bacterial small subunit ribosomal RNA
Source: RNAcentral